GAUGAACGCUGGCGGCGUGCCUAAUACAUGCAAGUCGAGCGAACGGACGAGAAGCUUGCUUCUCUGAUGUUAGCGGCGGACGGGUGAGUAACACGUGGAUAACCUACCUAUAAGACUGGGAUAACUUCGGGAAACCGGAGCUAAUACCGGAUAAUAUUUUGAACCGCAUGGUUCAAAAGUGAAAGACGGUCUUGCUGUCACUUAUAGAUGGAUCCGCGCUGCAUUAGCUAGUUGGUAAGGUAACGGCUUACCAAGGCAACGAUGCAUAGCCGACCUGAGAGGGUGAUCGGCCACACUGGAACUGAGACACGGUCCAGACUCCUACGGGAGGCAGCAGUAGGGAAUCUUCCGCAAUGGGCGAAAGCCUGACGGAGCAACGCCGCGUGAGUGAUGAAGGUCUUCGGAUCGUAAAACUCUGUUAUUAGGGAAGAACAUAUGUGUAAGUAACUGUGCACAUCUUGACGGUACCUAAUCAGAAAGCCACGGCUAACUACGUGCCAGCAGCCGCGGUAAUACGUAGGUGGCAAGCGUUAUCCGGAAUUAUUGGGCGUAAAGCGCGCGUAGGCGGUUUUUUAAGUCUGAUGUGAAAGCCCACGGCUCAACCGUGGAGGGUCAUUGGAAACUGGAAAACUUGAGUGCAGAAGAGGAAAGUGGAAUUCCAUGUGUAGCGGUGAAAUGCGCAGAGAUAUGGAGGAACACCAGUGGCGAAGGCGACUUUCUGGCCUGUAACUGACGCCGAUGUGCGAAAGCGUGGGGAUCAAACAGGAUUAGAUACCCUGGUAGUCCACGCCGUAAACGAUGAGUGCUAAGUGUUAGGGGGUUUCCGCCCCUUAGUGCUGCAGCUAACGCAUUAAGCACUCCGCCUGGGGAGUACGACCGCAAGGUUGAAACUCAAAGGAAUUGACGGGGACCCGCACAAGCGGUGGAGCAUGUGGUUUAAUUCGAAGCAACGCGAAGAACCUUACCAAAUCUUGACAUCCUUUGACAACUCUAGAGAUAGAGCCUUCCCCUUCGGGGGACAAAGUGACAGGUGGUGCAUGGUUGUCGUCAGCUCGUGUCGUGAGAUGUUGGGUUAAGUCCCGCAACGAGCGCAACCCUUAAGCUUAGUUGCCAUCAUUAAGUUGGGCACUCUAAGUUGACUGCCGGUGACAAACCGGAGGAAGGUGGGGAUGACGUCAAAUCAUCAUGCCCCUUAUGAUUUGGGCUACACACGUGCUACAAUGGACAAUACAAAGGGCAGCGAAACCGCGAGGUCAAGCAAAUCCCAUAAAGUUGUUCUCAGUUCGGAUUGUAGUCUGCAACUCGACUACAUGAAGCUGGAAUCGCUAGUAAUCGUAGAUCAGCAUGCUACGGUGAAUACGUUCCCGGGUCU
This 1372-nucleotide ribosomal RNA is filed under the name uncultured bacterium. RNAcentral describes it as "bacterial SSU rRNA". It matches the Rfam family "Bacterial small subunit ribosomal RNA", at positions 28 to 1381 of the family's 1533-position model. The record is from RNAcentral.